RNAcentral lists this ribosomal RNA (531 nucleotides) under Bifidobacterium bifidum. RNAcentral describes it as "bacterial SSU rRNA". It matches the Rfam family "Bacterial small subunit ribosomal RNA", at positions 163 to 706 of the family's 1533-position model. The record is from RNAcentral. Lineage: Bacteria; Bacillati; Actinomycetota; Actinomycetes; Bifidobacteriales; Bifidobacteriaceae.
GUAAUGCCGGAUGUUCCACAUGAUCGCAUGUGAUUGUGGGAAAGAUUCUAUCGGCGUGGGAUGGGGUCGCGUCCUAUCAGCUUGUUGGUGAGGUAACGGCUCACCAAGGCUUCGACGGGUAGCCGGCCUGAGAGGGCGACCGGCCACAUUGGGACUGAGAUACGGCCCAGACUCCUACGGGAGGCAGCAGUGGGGAAUAUUGCACAAUGGGCGCAAGCCUGAUGCAGCGACGCCGCGUGAGGGAUGGAGGCCUUCGGGUUGUAAACCUCUUUUGUUUGGGAGCAAGCCUUCGGGUGAGUGUACCUUUCGAAUAAGCGCCGGCUAACUACGUGCCAGCAGCCGCGGUAAUACGUAGGGCGCAAGCGUUAUCCGGAUUUAUUGGGCGUAAAGGGCUCGUAGGCGGCUCGUCGCGUCCGGUGUGAAAGUCCAUCGCUUAACGGUGGAUCUGCGCCGGGUACGGGCGGGCUGGAGUGCGGUAGGGGAGACUGGAAUUCCCGGUGUAACGGUGGAAUGUGUAGAUAUCGGAAAAGA